RNAcentral lists this ribosomal RNA (482 nucleotides) under uncultured bacterium. RNAcentral's name for it is "partial 16S ribosomal RNA". It matches the Rfam family "Bacterial small subunit ribosomal RNA", at positions 28 to 507 of the family's 1533-position model. The record is from RNAcentral.
GACGAACGCUGGCGGCGUGCUUAACACAUGCAAGUCGAACGCUGAAGCUCAGCUUGCUGGGUGGAUGAGUGGCGAACGGGUGAGUAACACGUGAGUAACCUGCCCUCUUCUUUGGGAUAACGCCCGGAAACGGGUGCUAAUACUGGAUAUUCACUGAUUCUCGCAUGGGGGUUGGUGGAAAGGUUUUUUCUGGUGGGGGAUGGGCUCGCGGCCUAUCAGCUUGUUGGUGGGGUGAUGGCCUACCAAGGCUUUGACGGGUAGCCGGCCUGAGAGGGUGACCGGUCACAUUGGGACUGAGAAACGGCCCAGACUCCUACGGGAGGCAGCAGUGGGGAAUAUUGCACAAUGGGCGAAAGCCUGAUGCAGCGACGCCGCGUGAGGGAUGGAGGCCUUCGGGUUGUAAACCUCUUUCGCUCAUGGUCAAGCCGCAGCUUGGGGUUGUGGUGAGGGUAGUGGGUAAAGAAGCGCCGGCUAACUACGUG